UUGGAGGGCAAGUCUGGUGCCAGCAGCCGCGGUAAUUCCAGCUCCAAUAGCGUAUAUUAAAGUUGUUGCAGUUAAAAAGCUCGUAGUUGAAUUUCGGGGUCAGCAGGUUGGUCGUGCCACUGGUAUGUACUGGCUUCGCUGAUUCCUCCUUUCUGAAGAACUGUAAUGCCAUUAAUUUGGUGUUGCAGGGAAACAGGACUGUUACUUUGAAAAAAUUAGAGUGUUUAAAGCAAGCAUUAGCUUGAAUACAUUAGCAUGGAAUAAUGAAAUAGGACGUUUGAUCCUACUUUGUUGGUUUCUAGGAUUGACGUAAUGAUUAAUAGGGAUAGUUGGGGGCAUUAGUAUUCAAUUGUCAGAGGUGAAAUUCUUGGAUUUAUUGAAGACUAACUACUGCGAAAGCAUUUGCCAAGGAUGUUUUCAUUAAUCAAGAACGAAAGUUAGGGGAUCGAAGACAAUCAGAUACCGUCGUAGUCUUAACCAUAAACUAUGCCGACUAGGGAUCGGAUGAUGUUAAUUUUUUAAUGACUCAUUCGGCGCCUUACGGGAAA
Molecule: ribosomal RNA, 548 nt
Filed under: uncultured Glomeromycotina
Lineage: Eukaryota; Fungi; Glomeromycota
Description: SSU rRNA
Rfam family: Eukaryotic small subunit ribosomal RNA
Source: RNAcentral